GUGGGGAAUAUUGCGCAAUGGGCGAAAGCCUGACGCAGCGACGCCGCGUGGAGGAUGAAGGUCUUAGGAUUGUAAACUCCUGUCAGAUGGGAAGAAAAGAUAUGCGUCUAAUAAAUGCGUAUUAUGACGGUACCAUCAGAGGAAGCACCGGCUAACUUCGUGCCAGCAGCCGCGGUAAUACGAAGGGUGCAAGCGUUAUUCGGAAUCACUGGGCGUAAAGAGUGCGUAGACGGUAUGUUAAGUUUGUUGUUAAAGACUCUGGCCUAACCGGAGGUUUGCAAUGAAAACUGGCAAGCUGGAGGGUGAGAGAGAGAAGUGGAAUUCCUGGAGUAGCGGUAAAAUGCGUGGAUCUCAGGAGGAACACCAAUGGCGAAGGCAGCUUCUUGGCUCAUUCCUGACGUUGAGGCACGAAAGCGUGGGGAGCAAACAGGAUUAGAAACCCUGGUAGUCC
Molecule: ribosomal RNA, 451 nt
Filed under: uncultured bacterium
Lineage: Bacteria
Description: bacterial SSU rRNA
Rfam family: Bacterial small subunit ribosomal RNA
Source: RNAcentral